RNAcentral lists this transfer RNA (86 nucleotides) under Acinetobacter pittii. RNAcentral describes it as "tRNA-Leu". It matches the Rfam family "tRNA". From Rfam's summary of the family: Transfer RNA (tRNA) molecules are approximately 80 nucleotides in length. Their secondary structure includes four short double-helical elements and three loops (D, anti-codon, and T loops). The record is from RNAcentral. Lineage: Bacteria; Pseudomonadati; Pseudomonadota; Gammaproteobacteria; Moraxellales; Moraxellaceae.
CGGGGGCGUGGCGAAAUUGGUAGACGCACUGGAUUUAGGUUCCAGCGCCGCAAGGUGUAAGAGUUCGAGUCUCUUCGCCUCAGCCA